AGCAGAAUGGCGCAGUGGAAUCGUGCUGGGCCCAUAACCCAGAGGUCCGUGAAUCGAAACAAUGCUCUGCUU
This 72-nucleotide transfer RNA is filed under the name Trichonephila clavata. RNAcentral's name for it is "tRNA-iMet". The record is from RNAcentral. Lineage: Eukaryota; Metazoa; Arthropoda; Arachnida; Araneae; Nephilidae.